UGAGUACAAGAUGCUACGGCAUUGAAGCAGUCUAUGUCAUACUUCCAAGAAGAGCUUGCAAUGUCAUAAACAAAUAAUGCCUGUACCAUAACCGACACAGGUGGGUAGGUAGAGUAUACUAAGGGGCGCGAGAUAACUCUCUCUAAGGAACUCGGCAAAAUGACUCCGUAACUUCGGGAGAAGGAGUACCUUAUUUUAUAAGGUUGCAAUAACAAGGUCCAAGCAACUGUUUACCAAAAACACAGGUCUCCGCUAAGUCGUAAGACGAUGUAUGGGGGCUGACGCCUGCCCAGUGCCAGAAGGUUAAAGAAGUUGGUUAGCAUUAGCGAAGCUGAUAACUGAAGCCCUGGUGAACGGCGGCCGUAACUAUAACGGUCCUAAGGUAGCGAAAUUCCUUGUCGGGUAAGUUCCGACCCGCACGAAAGGCGUAAUGAUUUGGAUACUGUCUCGGAGAGGGGCUCGGUGAAAUAGACUUGUCUGUGAAGAUGCGGACUACCUGCACCUGGACAGAAAGACCCUAUGAAGCUUUACUGUAACUUGAGAUUGAAAUUGGACUUUAUUUGCGCAGUAUAGGUGGGAGACCUCGAAAGUAUUCUUGCGGGAAUAUUGGAGUCAUCAGUGAGAUACCACUCUUAUAAUGUUAGAUUUCUAACUUUGUAUCAUUAUCUGGUCAAAGAACAGUUUCAGGCGGGCAGUUUGACUGGGGCGGUCGCCUCCCAAAUGGUAACGGAGGCGCACAAAGGUUUCCUCUGAACGUGUAGAAAUCGUAUCUAGAGUGUAAAGGCAUAAGGAAGCUUGACUGUGAGACCUACAAGUCGAGCAGGGACGAAAGUCGGUCUUAGUGAUCUGACGGUGCUGAGUGGAAAGGCCGUCACUCAACGGAUAAAAGUUACUCUAGGAUAACAGGCUGAUCUCCCCCAAGAGUUCACAUCGACGGGGAGGUUUGGCACCUCGAUGUCGGCUCAUCGCAUCCUGGGGCGGUAGUACGUCCCAAGGGUUGGGCUGUUCGCCCAUGAAAGCGGUACGCGAGCUGGGUUCAGAACGUCGUGAGACAGUUCGGUCCAUAUCCGGUGUAGGCGUUAGAGUAUUGAGAGGAGCCUUCUUUAGUACGAGAGGACCGAGAAGGACAUACCUCUGGUGUACCAGUUAUCGUGCCAACGGUAAACGCUGGGUAGCUAUGUAUGGAGAGGAUAACCGCUGAAAGCAUCUAAGUGGGAAGCCCACCUCAAGAUAAG
RNAcentral lists this ribosomal RNA (1235 nucleotides) under metagenome. Its description in RNAcentral is "bacterial LSU rRNA". It matches the Rfam family "Bacterial large subunit ribosomal RNA", at positions 1564 to 2808 of the family's 2925-position model. The record is from RNAcentral.